This 492-nucleotide ribosomal RNA is filed under the name uncultured bacterium. RNAcentral's name for it is "partial 16S ribosomal RNA". It matches the Rfam family "Bacterial small subunit ribosomal RNA", at positions 30 to 507 of the family's 1533-position model. The record is from RNAcentral.
AUUGAACGCUGGCGGCAUGCUUUACACAUGCAAGUCGAACGGUAACAGGCCUUCGUGUGCUGACGAGUGGCGAACGGGUGAGUAAUUCAUCGGAACGUACCCAGAGGUUGGGGUUAACGCAGCGAAAGCUGUGCUAAUACCGCAUGUGAUCUGAGGAUGAAAGCGGGGGACCGAGCAGCAAUGUUUGGCCUCGCGCCUUUGGAGCGGCCGAUGUCGGAUUAGCUAGUUGGUGGGGUAAAGGCCUACCAAGGCGACGAUCCGUAGCUGGUCUGAGAGGACGACCAGCCACACUGGGACUGAGACACGGCCCAGACUCCUACGGGAGGCAGCAGUGGGGAAUUUUGGACAAUGGGCGCAAGCCUGAUCCAGCAAUGCCGCGUGCGGGAAGAAGGCCUUCGGGUUGUAAACCGCUUUUGGCAGGAACGAAACGGUGUCCGCUAAUACCGGGCGCUAAUGACGGUACCUGCAGAAUAAGCACCGGCUAACUACGUG